This 838-nucleotide ribosomal RNA is filed under the name uncultured bacterium. RNAcentral describes it as "bacterial SSU rRNA". It matches the Rfam family "Bacterial small subunit ribosomal RNA", at positions 62 to 910 of the family's 1533-position model. The record is from RNAcentral.
UCGAACGGACUCAUAUUGAAACCUAGUGAUUUAUGAGUUAGUGGCGGACGGGUGAGUAACGCGUGGAUAACCUGCCGUAUACCGGGGGAUAACACUUAGAAAUAGGUGCUAAUACCGCAUAAGCGCACGGCUCCGCAUGGGGCAGUGUGAAAAACUCCGGUGGUAUACGAUGGAUCCGCGUCUGAUUAGCUAGUUGGCGGGGUAACGGCCCACCAAGGCAGCGAUCAGUAGCCGGCCUGAGAGGGUGGACGGCCACAUUGGGACUGAGACACGGCCCAAACUCCUACGGGAGGCAGCAGUGGGGAAUAUUGCACAAUGGGGGAAACCCUGAUGCAGCGACGCCGCGUGAGUGAAGAAGUAUCUCGGUACGUAAAGCUCUAUCAGCAGGGAAGAAAAUGACGGUACCUGACCAAGAAGCCCCGGCUAACUACGUGCCAGCAGCCGCGGUAAUACGUAGGGGGCAAGCGUUAUCCGGAUUUACUGGGUGUAAAGGGAGCGUAGACGGCAGCACAAGUCUGGAGUGAAAUCCCGGGGCUUAACCCCGGAACUGCUUUGGAAACUGUGCGGCUGGAGUGCAGGAGGGGUAAGCGGAAUUCCUAGUGUAGCGGUGAAAUGCGUAGAUAUUAGGAGGAACACCGGUGGCGAAGGCGGCUUACUGGACUGUAACUGACGUUGAGGCUCGAAAGCGUGGGGAGCAAACAGGAUUAGAUACCCUGGUAGUCCACGCCGUAAACGAUGAUUACUAGGUGUCGGGGGACCAAGGUCCUCCGGUGCUGGCGCAAACGCAUUAAGUAAUCCACCUGGGGAGUACGUUCGCAAGAAUGAAACUCAAAGGAAU